This 465-nucleotide ribosomal RNA is filed under the name uncultured bacterium. RNAcentral's name for it is "partial 16S ribosomal RNA". It matches the Rfam family "Bacterial small subunit ribosomal RNA", at positions 28 to 507 of the family's 1533-position model. The record is from RNAcentral.
GACGAACGCUGGCGGCGUGCUUAACACAUGUAAGUCGAACGGAAAGGCCCUGCUUGCCGGGUACUCGAGUGGCGAACGGGUGAGUAACACGUGGGUGAUCUGCCCUGCACUUCGGGAUAAGCCUGGGAAACUGGGUCUAAUACCGGAUAGGAGCCAUUUUUAGUGUGAUGGUUGGAAAGUUUUUUCGGUGUAGGAUGAGCUCGCGGCCUAUCAGCUUGUUGGUGGGGUAAUGGCCUACCAAGGCGGCGACGGGUAGCCGGCCUGAGAGGGUGGACGGCCACAUUGGGACUGAGAUACGGCCCAGACUCCUACGGGAGGCAGCAGUGGGGAAUAUUGCACAAUGGGCGCAAGCCUGAUGCAGCGACGCCGCGUGGGGGAUGACGGCCUUCGGGUUGUAAACUCCUUUCGCUAGGGACGAAGCUUUUUGUGACGGUACCUAGAUAAGAAGCACCGGCUAACUACGUG